AGCAUAUGCUUGUCUCAAAGAUUAAGCCAUGCAUGUCUAAGUACAAGCCGCUAGUCGGCGAAACCGCGAAUGGCUCAAUAAAUCAGUUAUGGUUCCUUAGAUCUUUCCAUCCUACUUGGAUAACUGUGGUAAUUCUAGAGCUAAUACAUGCAUUCAAGCCCCGACUCCCGGGUUUCGGCUCGGGCUGGAGGGGUGCUUUUAUUAGACCAAAACCAAUCGAAGCUUCGGCUUCGUUUCCUUUGGUGACUCUGAAUAACUUUCCGCUGAUCGCACGGCCUCGAGCCGGCGACGCAUCUUUCAAAUGUCUGCCUUAUCAACUUUCGAUGGUAGGUUAUGCGCCUACCAUGGUUGCAACGGGUAACGGGGAAUCGGGGUUCGAUUCCGGAGAGGGAGCCUGAGAAACGGCUACCACAUCCAAGGAAGGCAGCAGGCGCGCAAAUUACCCAUUCCCGGCACGGGGAGGUAGUGACGAAAAAUAACGAUACGGGACUCUUCCGAGGCUCCGUGAUUGGAAUGAGUACACUUUAAAACCUUUAACGAGGAUCUAU
This 548-nucleotide ribosomal RNA is filed under the name uncultured eukaryote. RNAcentral describes it as "bacterial SSU rRNA". It matches the Rfam family "Eukaryotic small subunit ribosomal RNA", at positions 25 to 548 of the family's 1831-position model. The record is from RNAcentral.